CCGGCGUACUGGAACCUCUCUCGCGAUCCCGCACCCAGCUUGAAUUCAGCGAGAAUCGAAAACAGUCCAACAACCGUCGUAUCUACAGCGAUCCUUAGAGAACAAUUAAGGCCAGUUGACAGUAAAGAACAGUCAGUGUGUACUUGAAGUCCACGCUGAGACAGCAUCAAUCUUCUGGCAGCUGCAAGACUGACCUAUCAACCGAGGCAUUUCUUCAUUCCCUGCCAUUGUCUCCUCCUCUUGAGAUCGCCAUCAGGCACAGUCACUUUUCUACAAACAGGCAAUAGGACUCCCGCUGCCACCCUGCCCAGAUUUUAGUCCUCUACUGCUGAUAAAGUGAGCAAAGAUACGUGGCACUUCCUGAACCCAAAUACUCUUCUGAGCUGAUUCUAAAUCCAAACAGAAUCAACCUACCUCCUAUUACCUCCUUCCAAGCUCAUUUCAGUCUCAGCUCCAGACAUCAGUGAAUUCAAUGUGAUACAUCAGGGGACAUCACAGGACUUCCCUACUUGAAAAUCAAGCAAUCAUGUCCCUGAAACACUCUGUCUUUAUUCAUGCUCAGUUACCAUAAAGUAGAUGCAACUCUAAGAACCUAUGGAUUUUUUUAUUGCCACUAAUAGAUCAUGAUUUACAGCAAAAUUUUAAAAGGUCCAAUUUUACUCACAUAAGAAGAAGAAAACAUUCAGCAAGAAGCAUUUCUUUUGCUUUAUCUUUCCCAGUUAAAUAUGACUUUAAAAAAGACAAAAUUUUAAAAGGUCCAAUUUUACUCACAUAAGAAACAAGAAGAAAAUAUUCAGCAAGAAGCAUUUCUUUUGCUUUAUCUUUCCCAGUUAAAUAUGACUUUGAAAAAGAAGAGCACGCCUCAUUAGCCGUAAUUGUCUGAUUAAUACAAAGAAAUGGAUUCAUAUCACAGGGUUCCACUACCCCUAUGGUAGUGUUUACUAUCCUUAUUUCACUCAAUAAUUACAGUUACUUUAACCAGAAUGCCUGCCUUCUUUGGCAUUUUGGGAGAGGAAGCAUAUGACUGUAAACCCUCUUCAAACUUUCAGACUUACGUUUGCUUCUUCUAAGUCCAUCGACUUUAUACAUAAAUGACUUCUUUUUAAAAAUAAAUAAAUAAAUAAAUAAAUAAAUAAAUAAAUAAAUAAA
RNAcentral lists this non-coding RNA (1149 nucleotides) under Pan troglodytes (chimpanzee). Lineage: Eukaryota; Metazoa; Chordata; Mammalia; Primates; Hominidae. The record is from RNAcentral.